This is a long non-coding RNA of Vicugna pacos (alpaca), 1702 nucleotides long. RefSeq lists it as uncharacterized. NCBI's taxonomy places the organism in Eukaryota, Metazoa, Chordata, Mammalia, Artiodactyla, Camelidae. The record is from RefSeq and is a predicted model, not a curated record.
GAGACUGGAUCCAGUGUGAUAGAUCGCGUUGAUGACCUGACAUUGCUUAAGGGUGGCCUGCCCUGGAGAAGGAACUGGGAAGGAAAGUUUCCUGCAGUCGAAGCCUCAGGCUUCCUGGAAGCUGCAUCGUGUCCAGCAGAGUUGGGAAGCACCCACCUAUCUGAGUUCUGCUGACACUCAGAAGGACGGCAGAGAGGUUUCAGGAUCUCUGAAAUGAAUGCCUGGGGCAGCCUGCCCUCGCACUCCCAGGAGAUGAGGCAGAUGGCAGGCGGACACAACAGACCCGCAGGGGCAGGCGAGGACUGGACCUGCAAAGUCCCAGAUGGGGCUCUCCUCCCCCAGCCCUCGGGUCCAGUAAAGAGGAGACCCAAGGCCAUGAGGUCAUCGGAAUGCAGGAUCCUUUAACCAGACUGAAAGGAGGAACUCAGCAGCGGCAGGAAAAGCGGCUGAGGAGGCCUUGUGAUCCAGAAAUAGACACAAGGAGACGCCGAGGGAGAAGGCAACAGAGCUGAAGGAGCCGACGGCAUCAGGCGACUCUGACGCGCCCGCAGACCAGUGCCCCUGCAAACACCGAGGAGACGCUGUCCCAGACUCUGCACUCGCAGGCCGGCCACCUCCCACGGAAUCUUCCCUGGGGUGGUCGUGGAGUGGAAAUCACUGACUCCCCAGCCCACCGUCCUGUGCUUUGUCCAGGACCCUCCCUCAUCGUCCAGCCCACAGACAGCAGACCUGAUGUUGGCUCCCACGAUUUCCCCAGACUGCCACCAACAUACUUGGCCCCGGCCCUGCCCUCACACCCCAGGUCCAAGCCAAGUACCUGAUGUGAAGUCAAAGCCAAGCUCCCAUCCUGACCCCCAUAGACUGAGCCAGGACUCCAAGCUGUGCAUCCUGGCACCAGGUGAGGGAUCUGCCUGGGUCCCCAUCCACGAUGCCAGAAUCCCUCAAAAGGCCCUUUCCAGACCCUCAGAAAAGCACUUGGAGACCAGUUCAGGGAGGCUGUCCAGACUCUGUGGUCUCUGCUCAGUAGAUGGAUGUGGACACAGGACAUUCCCAGGUGACCUGAAGGACGCCUGCUCAGAUGGCCAGCACUGACCUCCAGUGAGCGGACCUGAUGACUGCCCAGGCCGGCGGGCUCCCCAUCCUCCCCACCACCCAGCCUCGUUCCAGGCCAGCCCCUAGUGGUCUGUGCUAGGUUGACUCAAAUAACUCUGAAGGACACUGUCUCUGUCCCAUCGCUUUUCUCUGGGAUGACUCUGUGCAGUCACUGGAGUGACAAACUCUCCAGUAGCUGAGACUUGACUUUCAGUCUCAGAUACCUGGAGGAGACAGCGGACGGAGCAGGUGGCAGCAGGGCAGCACGCUGCGUCGGAUGAACAGGAAUCCCCAGCCCCGGUGCACGUGCAGGGAAAGGACCCCCGUGCCGCCCUGGGAGACGCACACACACAGCCUGUUCCGACUAUGCCCCUUCCGGGUGAACUCAAGAUGGAAUUUAUGAAACUGGCAUAGGAGAGGUUUUAAAUUCAGUUAAUUGUGUAAUAAGCCAAGUAAAACAACUGGCAUAAGUAUUUAGUUCUAACUAAGGAGCUGUGAAAUUAAUCUGAACUUUGGGAAACUCUGGUUAAACCAAGCUCCGGGCUCUGUAUCUUCUGAGAACUGCCCUGUCCUGAUACAGAGUUCUGUUUCUGUGUAAGUGUUUUAUAGA